This 414-nucleotide ribosomal RNA is filed under the name uncultured microorganism. Its description in RNAcentral is "bacterial SSU rRNA". It matches the Rfam family "Archaeal small subunit ribosomal RNA", at positions 459 to 872 of the family's 1478-position model. The record is from RNAcentral.
CAGCCGCCGCGGUAAUACCGGCGGCCCGAGUGGCGGUCACUAUUAUUGGGCUUAAAGCGUCCGUAGCCGGGGUGGGAAGUCCUCCGGGAAAUCUGGCCGCUUAAAGGUCAGAAUGCCGGAGGAUACUCCCAGCCUAGGGAGCGGGAGAGGCCGAGGGUAUUCCCGGAGUAGGGGUGAAAUCCUAUAAUCCCGGGAGGACCACCUGUGGCGAAGGCGCUCGGCUGGAACGCGUCCGACGGGGAGGGACGAAGGCCAGGGGAGCAAACCGGAUUAGAUACCCGGGUAGUCCUGGCUGUAAACGAUGCGGACUUUGUGUCGGACAAGCUAUGAGCUUGUCCGGUGCCGGAGGGAAACCGUUAAGUCCGCCGCCUGGGGAGUACGGCCGCAAGGCUGAAACUUAAAGGAAUUGGCGGG